CUGCUUUGAAAUGUGCAGCCUAAGCAUGACAGAGUCGAUGUUUCCAUCAAGCCGCAGCUCACCACAAAUUAACCUGCUGUCUUUCAGAAGACAUUUGAUCCCAACCUUGGAAAGGCAUCCCCCUGCACCGCCCAGCGCAACGCUGAAAACUGAUCUUUUGUAUUCCUGGAUCCCAACCACCCUGGUACAAAGCCAGGCCCCGGGCAGAUGGGGCAGAAGUAUUAGGAAAUGACUGGUGAUAGACAUUGAAAGAUACACUGAUAUUAAAUUAUGUCAUCAUGAAAAGAGAAAGCUCCACCGUGGAGCUCGGGCUGGUCAUACCCACCCCAUCUAAAACAAAACAAAACUCCCUCACAGGUUUUCUCCUAACAUACUGUAUCUAGUCACUAAGAACGGGCAUUCU
Non-coding RNA from Peromyscus maniculatus bairdii (prairie deer mouse), 403 nucleotides. Lineage: Eukaryota; Metazoa; Chordata; Mammalia; Rodentia; Cricetidae. The record is from RefSeq and is a predicted model, not a curated record.